UACGUAGGGGGCAAGCGUUAUCCGGAUUUACUGGGUGUAAAGGGGGCGCAGACGGCGAUGCAAGCCAGGAGUGAAAGCCCGGGGCCCAACCCUGGGACUGCUCUUGGAACUGCGUGGCUGGAGUGCAGGAGGGGCAGGCGGAAUUCCUGGUGUAGCGGUGAAAUGCGUAGAUAUAUGGAGGAACACCGGUGGCGAAAGCGGCUCUCUGGCCUGUAACUGACACUGAGGCUCGAAAGCGUGGGGAGCAAACAGG
RNAcentral lists this ribosomal RNA (253 nucleotides) under uncultured bacterium. RNAcentral's name for it is "partial 16S ribosomal RNA". It matches the Rfam family "Bacterial small subunit ribosomal RNA", at positions 524 to 776 of the family's 1533-position model. The record is from RNAcentral.